AAUAAGCUAAAUAAGAGCGUAUGGGGAAUGCCUAGGCUCUCAGAGGCGAUGAAGGACGUGAUAAGCUGCGAUAAGCUUCGGUUAGUGGCACAUACAUUUACCCGAAGAUUUCCGGAUGGGGCAACCCAGCAUAUUGAAGAUAUGUUAUCCGUAAGGAGGCGAACCCGGAGAGCUGAAACAUCUAAGUACCCGGAGGAGAAGAAAAUAAUAAUGAUUCCGCUAGUAGUGGCGAGCGAACGCGGAAUAGCCCAAACCAAUAUUGUUACGGCAAUAUUGGGGUUGUAGGACCACGAUAUUUGAGUUGUAAUGAAUUAGAAUUGUUUGGAAAGACAACUAGAGAGGGUGAUAGUCCCGUAUAAGUAAAGAGCAACA
RNAcentral lists this ribosomal RNA (372 nucleotides) under uncultured Flavobacteriaceae bacterium. RNAcentral describes it as "bacterial LSU rRNA". It matches the Rfam family "Bacterial large subunit ribosomal RNA", at positions 1 to 396 of the family's 2925-position model. The record is from RNAcentral. Lineage: Bacteria; Pseudomonadati; Bacteroidota; Flavobacteriia; Flavobacteriales; Flavobacteriaceae.